This 1155-nucleotide unclassified non-coding RNA is filed under the name Hevea brasiliensis (rubber tree). The record is from RNAcentral. Lineage: Eukaryota; Viridiplantae; Streptophyta; Magnoliopsida; Malpighiales; Euphorbiaceae.
AAUUGACUUUGAUUGAGACCCGAACUCGUAAUCUCACAACUGUCUGAUUAUCACUCUAAUACCAUUCAAUCAAGACAGUAAACGAACUGUCGUACUCUCACAAAAAUAUAAAUACCCACUUGUAGCUCGCCGUUGGAGGGAGGAGAGAGAGAGAGACACAUGGAUUAUAGUCUAGCAGCGCUGAAGCUGCUGUGCGUGCAACUGAAAGACGCCCGCGAAACCCCUUCUCAGAACGCAUUGACUCUCGGCGGCAUUCUCUUCCAACGCGCAUGGUUGCAGGGCAUUUUGGUCUCCAAAGAUGGCGACGGCCGUCUGCUCCUAGAUGAUGGCACCGGUGUCAUCCAGCUUUCUCUUUCCGGCGACUUCCUUCUCCGCCGCUGGGAUAUAGGGAUGUAUGUGAUGGUAAUUGGUGGGUAUUUUGUUGGUACGGGUGAGAGUCCCAUGAUUAAGGUUCAUAAGAUUGUUGAUCUAUCACCAUUUCCAGAUCGAGAAGCCAUGUGGUAUCUUGAAGUAAUGGAGGCAUAUAAAUUGUUCUACCAGCCCUUAAUUGAAGAAUUCAUGUGAGUUUUGUUCAGAUGGUUUUUUAGCAUUGGGAAAACUUAGAUCACCUUGACUGUAGUCCCAGAAUUGCAAAAUUUUUGGGUAUCAACAUGCAUAACUAGCAGGAGUCUCUGUCUGAUUCUUUCUUCCCUCCAUGGGAAGCUUGUCUCUUGUAUAGCUGUCUUGUGAUGUUUAAAAUUGCAACGACAGUAAGUAUAGUGGAUGUACUUAGUUCUGUUUAUCUUAUUUUUUAUUAGAUACCAGAAUUUAGUGGGUUUUAGCUUUGAGGAGCGGGUUAGUGAUAUGAUGCCAAAAGUCUUUACAAUUGAGCAGAUUUGCAUCUUCAACGUUGUUGCAGUGCAAAUCAAACUAUCAAAUCCUGCUCAUCUGAGCUUCCACUUAAAUUAUAUGUGAUAAUUUUUGUAGAGCAGGAAAGUAUCAGGUGAAAAAGACGACAAAUCAGAUGGUUGGAUAUAUUUUAUUAUAGGCUAGAACAGAAGUUCUUUGCAUCCAAAAGAUGGGGUGGAAGGUUUUAUUGGUUCCACAUUUCUAGCUGUUGCUUGAAACAAAAAGCAGAUGACAUGAUUGUAAUCCCGUUUGGCAUUUGAGGUUCUG